Delphinapterus leucas (beluga whale) is the source of this 2732-nucleotide long non-coding RNA. NCBI's taxonomy places the organism in Eukaryota, Metazoa, Chordata, Mammalia, Artiodactyla, Monodontidae. The record is from Ensembl.
UAAAAGACCAAGAGCCAAUGGCUUCACCCACCAAUUUAGCUAUAUACAAAUCUUUCACCUAGUCUCAGAAAAUUAAGGAAUCUUGACUUUAUCUUAGCAAAAAUUAUGACAAUAGCUUUACUUCUCUAACUACUAACUCCUAAACUUUCUAGCAUAACGCCUAAUGAGACUUCAGUAAAAAUUAAACUGCCACAUCCUAGAGAACAAACUUAUGGACACCAAGAGGGGAAAGUGGCAGGGGGUGGUGGUGUGAUGAAUUGGGAAACUGGGAUUGACAUAUAUACACUAAUAUGCAUACGAUAGUAAGAACCUGCUGUAUGAAACAUAAAAUUCAAAAAAACAUUACAUCCUUUUUAAAAAACAUCUGGUCAAAUGACAUUCUAUGCAGCUCAAUGUGAAUUUAAACAGAGCUAUGUACUAAAACUGAUUUUUCUGUAGGUUCCCUUCCACCACUCCGGCCCUCUAAUAGCUCCUCCCUGCUGGUAUUCCAGAAACCCUCCCACUCUCAGGUACCAAAGCCAAACUCAGUAUUUUUAAAGUCAGUAGUUUACAAGUAAAUCUACAUCUAAGCGUCCACAUGGAAAAUUCUAACUGCAACCUCCAACUUGUCUGGGUUUUAUUUAUACUCACCCACUACAGUUCUAUGUUAAGGCCACCUUUUACUGACAUUGCUUACCUCUAGGUUACCACAGAAUCAUCUGGUAGACCAAAACUUUGAUCCCUCACACCCCACCCCUAAUUAAAAAGAAUCUUCUGCAAGCACUUAUUAAAAAGAAAUAAAUUACACUAUUUGAGAAUGCCAACAAUUUUAUUGAAAGAAAAGUGCAAUGAAACUUGUCGAAAGCUUAAAAGGGAGAACUUAGACACCUCCCCUCAAGCGCAGGACCAGGUGCAGAGUGGAUUCUUUCUGGAUGUUGUAGUCAGACAGGGUGCGCCCAUCUUCCAGCUGUUUCCCGGCAAAGAUCAACCUCUGCUGGUCUGGGGGGAUGCCCUCCUUGUCCUGGAUCUUCGCCUUGACAUUCUCGAUGGUGUCACUGGGCUCCACCUCCAGGGUGAUGGUCUUGCCGGUCAGGGGUCUUCACGAAGAUCUGCAUCCCACCUCUGAGGCGAAGGACCAGGUGCAGAGUGGACUCUUUCUGGAUGUUGUAGUCAGACAGGGUGCGCCCAUCUUCCAGCUGUUUGCCGGCAAAGAUCAGCCUCUGCUGGUCUGGGGGGAUGCCCUCUUUUUCUUGGAUCUUCCCCUUGACGUUCUCGAUGGUGUCACUGGGCUCCACCUCCAGGGUGAUGGUCUUACCAGUCAAGGUCUUCACGAAGAUCUGCAUUGUCUGUUGCAACAAAAAAAUUAACACAAAAAAUAACCCCAGCGUUUAACAGAUAAUUCAGAGGUCAACACAUACCUAAUGCUACAAAAUUAUAUGUCACUAUAUACUAACCAAAUGACUAACGUGCCCAAAAACUCAAAAGCUUGACAAAUAAGGUCACAGCCAACGUUUCACGCACUUAAGAAAGAAAAGCAGUCAAUUCGCGGGCCUCACUUACCCUCCCCCCCCACUGGCUGUCUGUCCCCUGCCAACACGGCAGCGACCACCCCAGGCCCAAACCCUGUGCCCCGAGAACAGAAAAACUCUCCCUCCACACAUACCAGCAGGCGGCCCCACCCUCGAUUACGAGCCCACGGAAGGGAUGACGUCUCGUAACCGCGUUGGCGAGCGGGUCCCCUCCCCCCUCGCGGGUGCAGGACGGCUCCGUGGCAUCGGCAGUUACUGUCCCCUUACUGGGACGGGAAACCGAGUUCUCGCUCGAGUCAAACCGUGACCUAAUGUUCGCUUCCCUCACACGCUGCCCAACCCCGUUCCCCAAAAAGCUGGGCCCCGCCGCCACGGAGGCCUCACGGGCCUCUCGCGUCUCUCGCGUUUCCGUUUCACCCGCAGUCCCCUCCCCCGUCCCCCAUCUUCUCUCUCCCACCUCAUAGCCCGCUUCGGAGUCCGGCUUCUCCCACCGAGGGACGGGAAACGGACGCCAUUUUGCCGCGUUCCUCCCUCUCAGGGCUACCCUGCUGCUAGCGGGCCCCGGGUGACUAAAGGCCUCGGCUGCUCCCUCUGCCGCAGCGGGCAAGUCGACACCCCGCGCCCCCCGCGGCCGCGAGACCCCCGGGCCCCCUCCUUACCAAACGGUGGUGACGGCAGCAAACGCAGAAAAACCGCAACUCGGCUUCCAAACUUCACGAAGAUGCCUGCGCACCGCUCCCGCCGGCGCUUCCUUAUAUAGGUACAGGUAGCGCCGCUCCGAUAGAUCCUUCCGCAGAAACGCCGAGAAGGGACUACUUUUCGCAGCCCUCCUGCCCUCUGAAGAGAAACCCCAGACUCAACUAAUUCCACUCAUAAAAUGCUCUCCUGUGAAGACUGGAGCUUUGGGGCCGAAUCUGGCGCGGAGCGGGCCGCCGUCCCGAGAGGCCUGGCGGAGGGAUCAGCGCGCUCGUUGAGCGCUGCGUCCGCGGACUUGCCCCGGGCUCGAAUUAAGGGGAGGGAGAGUGGGGGGCGGGCGGCCUGAAAACCCGGCGUGGAGUCGCUCAGACGUCCGGAGCGGGCCGUCUCCACCGCCCGGCCUUUAUGCCCCCUCCCCCCGGCCCGGACGGGCCCCGCCGUUCGCGAGGCCCGCCCUAGGCGUACAGGGCUCCGGCCGAGCGCCUCACACCGAGUCGGGGUCCCGCUUGCCCAGCGCACACCCCGCCC